This 274-nucleotide ribosomal RNA is filed under the name uncultured bacterium. RNAcentral describes it as "partial 16S ribosomal RNA". It matches the Rfam family "Bacterial small subunit ribosomal RNA", at positions 523 to 796 of the family's 1533-position model. The record is from RNAcentral.
AUACGGAGGGGGCUAGCGUUGUUCGGAAUUACUGGGCGUAAAGCGCGCGUAGGCGGAUUGAUCAGUCAGAGGUGAAAUCCCAGGGCUCAACCCUGGAACUGCCUUUGAUACUGUCAGUCUUGAGUUCGAGAGAGGUGAGUGGAAUUCCGAGUGUAGAGGUGAAAUUCGUAGAUAUUCGGAGGAACACCAGUGGCGAAGGCGGCUCACUGGCUCGAUACUGACGCUGAGGUGCGAAAGCGUGGGGAGCAAACAGGAUUAGAUACCCCAGUAGUCC